CCCGAGCAACCGAAGUGAAGGAGGAAAGUUUUUAAUAAUUGAUAACGAAAAUGCCGUUUGAACGAGUCGCCGGCAGCUACUUUGCCACUGCGCAUUGUUGAGUGGCUGCAAGGGGAGUGCUGAAUCUGUUCGCUUGAGUGUCGUGAUUCUACCAAGUCUACUCCAACUCGUCACAUCAACAACCCUGACAACUUCGCCAUAAGGGUUCUUCAAAGACUAUCGAACCAUUCUGGAGCUGGAUCGUGUCGUCUGGAUCAUGUUCCAAAAGAGAUGACAACACUUCGGGACUGCUUCAGGCUCCUUCUCCUCCAACGGCUUUGCUUGGGCUGCUUUCACAGUGACAUUUUCCCCGCAUAAUGUGUUUCCGUGUAGUCCAUAUUCAAACAAAGCCUGUAGCUUUUAUGUUUGAAUGUAAGUGUUAGUGGCUUUUGAUUACAGUGAUCACCACUAUUUACUUGAGAUAUCAUGGGGUAAAGUAUAAAAUUUAUUGGAUUAUAUCAGUGUACCGAAGGGUAUCAUAUUAGUCUGAUGCUCAGUAUUUCUUGUUGAAUGUGGCCAGAGAUAAUUGUAAAGAUUAUUAUUUCUUAACGUUGGCUGGGUGAGUGCCGUCACAUUGUCAAAUUUUUUGUCUUUCUGUCUUAUCUUGCUGCCCAGGACCUCCUGUCUCUGUUGAACUUGGGGCAGAUAAAGAUUUAGUAAUAAUCUCUUUUGUUUUAAUUAUUCAAGGGGAGUUGACAAUUUUUCCUGGCAAAGACACUCAAUUUCAGAUAAAAUUGUUUAUGCUGAACAAUGGUUCAAUUAUUUAGCAACUGUAGUCCUUGUUUAGUUGGAAGCUUCUUGGUAUUUAUGGGAAACUUGAAUUUCAAACUGGUAAUGCAACCGUUUUUAAGAAUUUUUAGUGAAAGUUUGCACUCAGAGUUUGAGCAACAGUAGUAACUUAACAAGAAUAGAGGCAUGGGUUUAUUUGGUUUGUUUCCAAGAGGGCUACAUUCUGACUCAUGAUUAUUUUGAAAUGUUUGUAAGAUAGCAUUUUUAGAACAGAUUUUGUCAGUUACUUAUGGGAUUAGAAGGGGAGCAGGAAGUGUGGGUGGGGAAUGCAAGUAAAAUGUAUACUAGUGUCCUAUUUUCUGCCCAUCACCCUGCAUUAUGUUUGUUCCUUUUUUCCCCUGUCAAAGCAACCUUUAGAAUGUUUGGUUUAGUUUGUUCGUUCAAUAUGUAUUUGUAUCUGACUUUUGGGUAUAUUUAGUAUUUGAUGUGAAUGUUAAAUUAUGGUGACAAUUCAUCUUAUUUCAGUCCUUAUGUAUUACUCCUGUAAUAUUUCUGGCUUCAAGCAAGAAUUAUUGAACUGAAUUGAAACUUAACUAGUGGGGUAGUGAGAUCCAAUCCCUCAGCAAAAUGACUUAUGUUUCCAUUUUCUCUGUGCCUUUCUUUGCUAUGCCUCUGUACUGAAGCAUUGUAUGUAUUGCUCCCUGCCUUGUUAAAGUAUAAUUUUUAUUUUGUUUUUGUCAUACACAUUGCAACACACCCUUGAUGGAGUACAUGAAGUGUCAGCAUGUAUAAAGUAAUGUGUCAAUUCCACUGCUGAGCAAGUGAGCAUAUUGAUUCUCCGGUGUACACUGCUUUGUGUCACCAGUAUUUGAGGCGUCGUAACUUGAUCUGUAUGUAGGGGUGGUGACAAAUUUUUGUAUUUGUAUUUAUUGCGGUAAAAAUUUACAUGAUUUACAUAAGUUUUUACGCAAGUCAAGAACAAAGUGCAAAGCACAGCACCACGAUUGGAAGAUAGAAAAUAUAAAGUCGCCUCAGCAGUUUCAGAUAAAGUAUUCAAAGGUCAUCCAGACUAUACGGCUCUUUUUGUAUGAGGAACUUUUUGAGAACAUUUUUAAAGAUUUUGGGUUUGUCUCUCAUAUCCUUAAUUUCUUUAGGGAGUCUAUUAAAAAAUUGAGAUCCCAUGCAUAAUGGGUUAUUUGUAUCAACUUUUGUUCUAUAGAACUGAACAUGUAUGUCUGCGUUGUUUCUGGUACUACAACUGUGCAUUUCUUUUCUUAUGGGUAAAUCUUCUAAAUUCUUAAUGCCAAGCAAGCAGUGGGGUGGUGGAAACACAGUCAUUCCUUCAGAUGUAAUGACACAUUUCCUAUUUUCCCUUUGACAUGCUCCUGCACUGAGCUAUUGUGUGCAUUGCAAUGUUCCCCACCAUUUUAUAAUAUUAUUAAUUUUUAAGUUCCUUCAUUGUAUUUUCCUGUUCAAUUUUUUGUUCUUGUUUCAAUAGAGUACUUGAGGUGUCAGCCCAAAUAAAGAAAUAUCUCAAUUUCGCUGCUGUAGUUGUGAGCAUUUAAGCCCUACUUUGUCACAUUGGAAGCAAUGUUAGUUCGGUGACUUGCUUACUGUUACUUGAGGCGGCAUGAGAACUUAGCAAUAGCGACGAAAAUAGCUACAGCUUUGGGCCAAUAUUUAACAUCCUGAAAGAGUGAAAACCCCUUUAAAUCAGCCAUAG
Thrips palmi is the source of this 2491-nucleotide long non-coding RNA. RefSeq lists it as uncharacterized. The record is from RefSeq and is a predicted model, not a curated record. The transcript has 3 exons. NCBI's taxonomy places the organism in Eukaryota, Metazoa, Arthropoda, Insecta, Thysanoptera, Thripidae.